GCUGGGCAUGGUGAUGCAUGCCUGCAGUCCCAGCUACUCAGGAGGCUGAGGUGGGAGGAUCCCUUGAGCCCAGAAGUUCAAGGCUGCAAUGAGCCUUUAAGGUGCCAUUGCACUCCAGCCUGGGCCACAGAGGGAGACCCUGUCUCUA
Molecule: non-coding RNA, 148 nt
Organism: Pan troglodytes (chimpanzee)
Lineage: Eukaryota; Metazoa; Chordata; Mammalia; Primates; Hominidae
Rfam family: Metazoan signal recognition particle RNA
About the family: The signal recognition particle (SRP) is a universally conserved ribonucleoprotein.
Source: Rfam